GAUGAAGAACGUAGCGAAAUGCGAUAAGUAAUGUGAAUUGCAGAAUUCAGUGAAUCAUCGAAUCUUUGAACGCACCUUGCGCCCUUUGGCCAUUCCGAAGGGCAUGCCUGUUUGAGUAUCAUGAACACCUCAACUCUUCAUGGUUUUCCAUGAUGAGCUUGGACUUUGGGGGUCUUGCUGGCCUGUGGGUCGGCUCCUCUCAAAUGAAUCAGCUUGCCGGUUUUUGGUGGGCAUCACAGGUGUGAUAACUAUCUACACUUGUGGUUUUCCACCAGGGUAACCUUCAGCAGUGGAGGUUCACUGGAGCUUACAAAUGUCUCUCCUCUGUGAGGACAGCCCUUUGAAUGUUUGAUCUCAAAUCAGGUAGGACUACCCGCUGAACUUAAGCAUAUCAAUAAGCGGAGGA
This 406-nucleotide unclassified non-coding RNA is filed under the name soil metagenome. RNAcentral describes it as "partial contains 5.8S ribosomal RNA, internal transcribed spacer 2, and large subunit ribosomal RNA". The stretch from base 1 to 121 matches the Rfam family "5.8S ribosomal RNA", at positions 35 to 154 of the family's 154-position model. The record is from RNAcentral.